AUCCGUCGCAACCAAUCUACAUAGCUCACAGUGGGGAAGAGGGAGAGAUUGAAAAAUGCUCCAACAGGUUAACACACCUCCAUCGAUACGAUGCGUGCCAGAAAAGUACCGUUUAAACGCGAAAGUGUACGAUGCUUUGCAGAGAGAAGACGAGAAAGAAGUGAUAAAGCUGUGUGAAGAUUUUGAGGAGCACGGAUAGCAUAUUGACUAUACACGAUGACACAGUGCUUCAGGCUGCCACUUACGCCAAGAAACCUGACUUGGUACUGAGACUUCUACAGGACUUGCCUGAACGCCAUCUUGAUAAACUGACUCGCCAAAACCUUGCCGGAAACACUAUCCUCCACGAGACCGCCAUAUCCAAUGAAGCAAUAGAGGUGGAUUGUUACGCAUGCGUAACAACCUUGGAGAGACGGCUCUUUUCCGGACCGCUCGUUAUGGCAAGCAAGACAUGUACGACUUUCUAGCCAAAAAAAUAUCUGGUUACGAUGGAGCCAAUCAGAAAGUCUUCCUGCAGAGAAGAGAUAAAACCACUAUUCUACACAUGGCCAUCCUUUCAGAGCACUUCGGUUAGUUCUCCCUCUCCUUAAAAAUUAAAAUAAUACUGAUGAUGCCAAAAUCGUCAGUUUGGGUCACUCGCGCAAUCCGAAGCAUUAGACGAUCUCAUAGGACCUGCAAGAUAAAGGGAAGAUAGAUCGAAUAAACCACCGGGUUGUGCCCAGUGGGGGAGCCUCUGAUGCUUAAAUUAGGAUGAACCCAUAUUUUUCAUAUUUAGAUAGUGUUUAGUAGUAGCUUUUGACGUACCUUCACAAGUGAGAUAGAUUGACCCUUUUAUAGGUGAUUUGGAUAGCUGUCGUACAUAAUUGGAGGUGAUUAUUGCCCAUGUGUAACAGUUAUUGUAUUGAUGAGCGUUUAAGACCGCUAAGUAAUGGUCGCCAUUAAUGUGUUGAAUGUGCUUGAGUGGUUACAUCUUUUGGUUUGUUAAUGAUGCAAGGUCGUCCAUAUUAAUGGACGACCUUAAUGUUUUUUU
This is a long non-coding RNA of Quercus robur (English oak), 1030 nucleotides long. RefSeq lists it as uncharacterized. The transcript has 2 exons. The record is from RefSeq and is a predicted model, not a curated record. NCBI's taxonomy places the organism in Eukaryota, Viridiplantae, Streptophyta, Magnoliopsida, Fagales, Fagaceae.